RNAcentral lists this ribosomal RNA (464 nucleotides) under uncultured bacterium. RNAcentral describes it as "partial 16S ribosomal RNA". It matches the Rfam family "Bacterial small subunit ribosomal RNA", at positions 339 to 795 of the family's 1533-position model. The record is from RNAcentral.
CUACGGGGUGCUGCAGUGGGGAAUAUUGCACAAUGGGCGCAAGCCUGAUGCAGCCAUGCCGCGUGUAUGAAGAAGGCCUUCGGGUUGUAAAGUACUUUCAGCGGGGAGGAAGGGAGUAAAGUUAAUACCUUUGCUCAUUGACGUUACCCGCAGAAGAAGCACCGGCUAACUCCGUGCCAGCAGCCGCGGUAAUACGGAGGGUGCAAGCGUUAAUCGGAAUUACUGGGCGUAAAGCGCACGCAGGCGGUUUGUUAAGUCAGAUGUGAAAUCCCCGGGCUCAACCUGGGAACUGCAUCUGAUACUGGCAAGCCUGAGUCUCGUAGAGGGGGGUAGAAUUCCAGGUGUAGCGGUGAAAUGCGUAGAGAUCUGGAGGAAUACCGGUGGCGAAGGCGGCCCCCUGGACGAAGACUGACGCUCGGGUGCGAAAGCGUGGGGAGCAAACAGGAUUAGAUACCCCCGUAGUC